RNAcentral lists this transfer RNA (68 nucleotides) under Gekko chinensis (Gray's Chinese gecko). RNAcentral's name for it is "tRNA-His". It matches the Rfam family "tRNA". Rfam says of the family: Transfer RNA (tRNA) molecules are approximately 80 nucleotides in length. Their secondary structure includes four short double-helical elements and three loops (D, anti-codon, and T loops). Lineage: Eukaryota; Metazoa; Chordata; Lepidosauria; Squamata; Gekkonidae. The record is from RNAcentral.
GUAAAUAUAGUUUAACAAAAACACUAAAUUGUGGAUUUAGAGUUAGGGAAUUAAUCCCCUUACAUACC